Molecule: ribosomal RNA, 192 nt
Filed under: uncultured bacterium
Lineage: Bacteria
Description: partial 16S ribosomal RNA
Rfam family: Bacterial small subunit ribosomal RNA
Source: RNAcentral
UUUUAAGUCUGAUGUGAAAGCCUUCGGCUUAACCGGAGUAGUGCAUUGGAAACUGGAGGACUGGAGAGCAGGAGAGGGCGGUGGAACUCCAUGUGUAGCGGUAAAAUGCGUAGAUAUAUGGAAGAACACCAGUGGCGAAGGCGGCCGCCUGGCCUGUUGCUGACGCUGAGGCACGAAAGCGUGGGGAGCAAA